GACGAACGCUGGCGGCGUGCUUAACACAUGCAAGUCGAACGGAAAGGUCCUGCUUUUGUGGGGUGCUCGAGUGGCGAACGGGUGAGUAACACGUGAGUAACCUGCCCUUGACUUUGGGAUAACUUCAGGAAACUGGGGCUAAUACCGGAUAGGAGCUCCUGCUGCAUGGUGGGGGUUGGAAAGUUUCGGCGGUUGGGGAUGGACUCGCGGCUUAUCAGCUUGUUGGUGGGGUAGUGGCUUACCAAGGCUUUGACGGGUAGCCGGCCUGAGAGGGUGACCGGCCACAUUGGGACUGAGAUACGGCCCAGACUCCUACGGGAGGCAGCAGUGGGGAAUAUUGCACAAUGGGCGGAAGCCUGAUGCAGCAACGCCGCGUGCGGGAUGACGGCCUUCGGGUUGUAAACCGCUUUCGCCUGUGACGAAGCGUGAGUGACGGUAAUGGGUAAAGAAGCACCGGCUAACUACGUGC
RNAcentral lists this ribosomal RNA (469 nucleotides) under uncultured bacterium. RNAcentral describes it as "partial 16S ribosomal RNA". It matches the Rfam family "Bacterial small subunit ribosomal RNA", at positions 28 to 508 of the family's 1533-position model. The record is from RNAcentral.